Molecule: long non-coding RNA, 257 nt
Organism: Priapulus caudatus
Lineage: Eukaryota; Metazoa; Priapulida; Priapulimorpha; Priapulimorphida; Priapulidae
Exons: 3
Source: RefSeq, a predicted model, not a curated record
CGUAGCUGUUAGUUAGGAGCGGGGUUUAGGUAUUUAGGUGCAGUUAUAUGCAGGUAGUAGGGGUUAGUUAGGAGCGGGGUUUAGGUAUUUUGGUGGAGUUAGGUAUUAUGCAGGUUAGUAGUGUGUACGUUAGGAGUGCGGUGGUUUAGGUAUUUUAGUGUGCAGUUCAUGAUAGGCAGGUAGUAGCUGUGUAGUUAGGAGCGGGGUUUAAGUGGUAUGUGUAGGUGUGCUAGGUUAUAUAUGCAGGUAGUAGCUGU